Molecule: long non-coding RNA, 2913 nt
Organism: Musa acuminata AAA Group (dessert banana)
Lineage: Eukaryota; Viridiplantae; Streptophyta; Magnoliopsida; Zingiberales; Musaceae
Exons: 2
Source: RefSeq, a predicted model, not a curated record
CUGAGAUUUGAGAUUGGCCGAUACGUGAACACUUGUCUUUUCGAGAGGAUCAUGUGGCUUCGCCUCCGUCCUCCUCUCCCCUUCCACCCUCCGGAAUCCAAUCGCAAUCCUUCGGAUUGGGGUUAGGGUUCCGAGAACCCGCGGUUCGUCGUCUUCUUCUCGCCACGCAUCCGGCCGGAAGGUCCUCCGCGAGGUAAGCCGCUUCCCGGUGGUAGAUGGCGUACCUCGACGGGCAGAAAUCUGUGAGGUUCUCCCUUGACCCGACCAAGGAGCUCAUUCUCAUCGAUCUUGUUUCAUGGAACCCUUCACUUAUCUUUGAUCAGUAUGAAGAUGUUGUGAACUAGCUGGGACAUGCAUUAGGAUGAAAUUGGCAAAGCAAAGUGCAUCUGAAUUGUUAACUAUAUAAAGAUAAUUCCACUGGAAACUUGGAACUGUUGAACAAGCAAAGUUACUUACGCUAGAUAAUCUGUACAUCUUUGUUUCCAAAAUGUUACUUCCCGACUUGAUUCAUCCAAAAUCCUUCCAGCUUCAUUUGGAUAUUACUCUGGUCAAGGCAAUCAAGGAUUUUUUGUGCCGGUAUCAUGUCUGUUAUGCGCCUGUUAGCCUUAUGUCAACAUGGGAUGGAGAUUACCAUGACAUAUUGGUAUUUCUGCCAUAUGUGCUGUCCUUGUGGCAGGCACAUGUAAAUUUAUGUGCAUGAUAGUUGAUACUGUAUGCAGGCACUGCAUGCAGCACCUGCCCUUUCCCGGUGAUGAUAACCUACCCACUUGUAUGGGUGGGACAGAGGACCACUGCAGGUAAAUGCAAUGUUUUUGACUAAUUAACAACAAGCAUCAGCAUAGGUUAAUCUUCCCUUGAAUUGCUUACUUUGGUUUGGUUGGCAAUUCUUUGUUCAUUAGAAAGCGAUAUAGAUACAUGUUCCUCUAAUCUUAUGAAUGGAUCAUCUAUGUGCUUGUAUUUAUAACAUUUACAUAUAUUCUUCUAUCAAACAAAAUAUUUGAAUCAAACAUUGACACCAACUUUCUAAUCUCAAUCUUUUGGGAUAUUAGAACUUGAAUAUCUUUAAUUUUUAUUAAUGUGUAACUCAUGCCACUGGGUGACAUAAUAGUUUACUUUGUCAAUUUUAUGGCAUUAAACACUUCAAUCGCUUGUUAUGUAUGCAUUUCUGAGUUUUUCUUUCAUAUUAUCCUUGCAUCUGUAUUUGUCAUAGCUAAGCUAUAUCUUCUUUUUUCUCUUUCAUCUACUUUUUGUCAUUCUGUCUCUCAGGUGGAUAGAAGAGGAAUACCUCUUGCUUGCCACUAUUUUACUGUAUGAACAUGUUUGUUGACAUUGAACCAGGUCCUUUUCAUCUUGGUUUGCUUAAUGACUACAGAAAGGUCUGUGCUUACACAUAACAUCUCAGAUCUCUUUUUCUUGCUCUUUAUCUUGGUUUAAUCUGUGUUAGUUGUGUGCAUAACUUCUGAUUGUUCUUUAAGAGUUUUUACCCAAUUUGAGCUAUCAUCCAUUGGCAAGGAUGGGGACAUACAUGGAUGAAUGAUAAGGUGCAUCAAUACCAUUUAGUUUAGAUGAGUCACAUAGUCCUCUGUGCUUCAAGGUAAGAUAGGUCAUGGUAGUCAUGGCAACAGAACAGUAUUGUGAUUUAGCUGACAGGUCUGGAGAUUGGCUUUGUGUUUGAAUUCAUGACGCAAGAUAUUAGAUACUGAUCUCAGUAGGUUAGCUCUAGCAGAUUGUAUCUUGUAUGAUGAAUAUAAUCUGCUAGAGCUAACCUACUGAGAUCAGCAUCUAACAUCUUACAAUAUGUGAUUGCCUAUCUAAUGAAAAUGUGCAUAACUAAGAGGUUUGUCAUAGUGUUCUUUUGCUUUGGCAAUCUCUGUAACAAUGCUUGUUUCCUUAAAGGACAUUUGGAGGGCAUCAUCUGGUUGGCAAUCUUAUUUCUCUUGUGCAAAUAAACCAGCUUUCAUGCAUGCCCAUAAUUCUGCACCAUUCAGCGCUUUUUUUUGUUUUUGCAUCAUAUUUUAUGAUUCAAAAUUGCAGGUUCGUUUUUUCUUGCAGAUGGAUGAUCAACUUCUAGACACUAUAUGUGAGGUUUUUGUAUCCUCUUUAAGCACAGAAGACGCCUGUAUUGUUCGAGAGGGUGACCCUGACACAAAUGCUUUUCAUCAACAUAUGACAGACUGAAGAGCUCUACUGCUAGUAGAGGUGGACCUGGUUUCUUCAAUUCUGUGAUACACAGGCCUAGUGAUUCCUGUGGUAAGGAACUUCUUGAUUGGGCUCUUCUUCCAAAGGCCAUGGUGAACUCGCCUUCCUCUAAGAAUUGUAAGAACACUGGCUAAAGUUGAGGCCUUUGGAAAAGCUGAAAGCUGCAGCACUUUCCAUUUCUACUCUCAUCACUGGAGGACAUGGGCUGCCUGCUUCAUUCAGGCAGCUUGGCAUCGCUACAGGAGGAGAAAGAUGGCAAAGGAUUUGAGUCGGAGGGAAUCAUUUAACUCCCGGACGGAUGCGUCGAUGCUGAAAGGAGAUGAAGUCAACAUAAUUCCACGAGUACUUCUCACCCAAAACAAAAUCUUGUGUUCAGAGUUCUAGCUAGGUUAGCCUCACUUCUCCGUGGACACUUGUGAUUGGUUAUCAUUGAACCUGUUAUGAGGACACCUGCUUGCUUCUCACCAGAUUACAGUUGAAAGAGAAAUUCAGAUGAGCAAGGGUUUGUACUUGAUAAAAUAUGAUGUUGAGGAUGUAAAUCUUCAUCCAAACAAAUCUAUACGCAUGGCUACUCUGAUAAUGUGGUAUCAUCUUAACUGAGUACAAGUUAAGAUAGUUUCUAAACAGAAUGGCAUGCCUGCUGUACAAUCUAGAUGUAUUUAUCAGUGUAAUCUUGUUUAGGAUGAAAUCGUCACCAUAUUGUGUUUUCAGUAA